GCCGUCGUCGACCAGCGGACGGUCAUCCUCGCGAAGGAGUUCGGAACCACUUCUUCUGAGGAAGGCGGGGGUUCGAUUCCCCCCGAUGGUA
Non-coding RNA from Mycena latifolia, 91 nucleotides. The record is from the annotation of a GenBank genome assembly. Lineage: Eukaryota; Fungi; Basidiomycota; Agaricomycetes; Agaricales; Mycenaceae.